CGCCGCCGCCCUUAGGGCGGUGUUUAGGGUGGAGGGAAAGUAGGUGCCUAUCUCUUUAAGAGGGCCUUGACACACGUGAUUCAUCAAAGUACCCGCAGUCAGCCGACCGGGCGCCGAAAGCUGCUUCCUACUCCCAGUGCCGAGCGGGCCUCAGCUACUGAGCAUGCCCAGCGCAGCGACGGGAGCCAGAGGAUAGCCGAAGACUUUAAGCUGCCGUUAAGCACUGAUUUCACUUCCCAGGGGCCUAGAGUGAAAUGAAAGGGAGCUAGUAAAGAAAAAAGAGGUAUAGCCCAUUUUAGAGACAGGGAACCUGAGGCCCGGAAUGAUUCAAGUGUGAUAAACUACCCAAAAACAGCACGGAAGAAGAAAUACAUCCUUCCAGACAGGGUGGAUAAGGAGCCCUAAGAUCUUUCUCGGAGAUCAGGGGUGAAGUGGUUAUCAGCAGUGUCAUCGGUUUUCCAGGGCCUGAUGAGCCGAAGAGGAAGCCAUAGUGUUUCGGAGGGUCCAUCACUGGAAUCUGAGGGAAUAAGAGCAGACCCUCUGCCUUUCCUUAAUAGGAAGCCAGGGAAUCAUUCAUUAAAAGAUUUGAACCAAAUAGGAAUAGAUGCCUCAAGGGGUUGCUGUGAUUGUGAGAAGUGUUUUUCUACUGCUGUCUGAAUGUCACCUUGGGUAAAUUUGAAAAAUUAAGAGUAAAUAAA
Molecule: long non-coding RNA, 698 nt
Organism: Mustela erminea (ermine)
Lineage: Eukaryota; Metazoa; Chordata; Mammalia; Carnivora; Mustelidae
Exons: 3
Source: RefSeq, a predicted model, not a curated record